CAAAAAGUAGCUUACCUUAAAGCAUUCACCCUACAACUGAAAAUCGUUGACGAGACCAACCUUUUUGG
Molecule: transfer RNA, 68 nt
Filed under: Rieppeleon kerstenii
Lineage: Eukaryota; Metazoa; Chordata; Lepidosauria; Squamata; Chamaeleonidae
Description: tRNA-Val
Source: RNAcentral